UCGGGAAUUUUGGGCAAUGGGCGAAAGCCUGACCCAGCAACGCCGCGUGAGGGAUGAAGUAUUUCGGUAUGUAAACCUCGAAAGAAUGGGAAGAAUAAAUGACGGUACCAUUUAUAAGCUCCGGCUAACUACGUGCCAGCAGCCGCGGUAAUACGUAGGGAGCAAGCGUUGUUCGGAUUUACUGGGCGUAAAGGGCGCGUAGGCGGCGCGGUAAGUCACUUGUGAAAUCUCUGAGCUUAACUCAGAACGGCCAAGUGAUACUGCUGUGCUAGAGUGCGGAAGAGGCAACCGGAAUUCUUGGUGUAGCGGUGAAAUGCGUAGAUAUCAAGAGGAACACCUGGGGCGAAGGCGGGUUGCUGGGCCGACACUGACGCUGAUGCGCGAAAGCCAGGGGAGCAAACG
RNAcentral lists this ribosomal RNA (402 nucleotides) under uncultured bacterium. RNAcentral describes it as "bacterial SSU rRNA". It matches the Rfam family "Bacterial small subunit ribosomal RNA", at positions 355 to 774 of the family's 1533-position model. The record is from RNAcentral.